RNAcentral lists this ribosomal RNA (254 nucleotides) under uncultured Fusobacterium sp. RNAcentral's name for it is "partial 16S ribosomal RNA". It matches the Rfam family "Bacterial small subunit ribosomal RNA", at positions 103 to 355 of the family's 1533-position model. The record is from RNAcentral. Lineage: Bacteria; Fusobacteriati; Fusobacteriota; Fusobacteriia; Fusobacteriales; Fusobacteriaceae.
CGGGUGAGUAACGCGUAAAGAACUUGCCUCAUAGUUUGGGACAACAUCUGGAAACGGAUGCUAAUACCGGAUAUUAUGCUUUCUUCGCAUGGAGGAAGUAUGAAAGCUAUAUGCGCUAUGAGAGAGCUUUGCGUCCCAUUAGCUAGUUGGUGAGGUAACGGCCCACCAAGGCGAUGAUGGGUAGCCGGCCUGAGAGGGUGAACGGCCACAAGGGGACUGAGACACGGCCCUUACUCCUACGGGAGGCAGCAGCA